Molecule: long non-coding RNA, 11021 nt
Filed under: Gossypium raimondii (Peruvian cotton)
Lineage: Eukaryota; Viridiplantae; Streptophyta; Magnoliopsida; Malvales; Malvaceae
Description: long non-coding RNA (GRAI_LNC000616)
Source: RNAcentral
GAAUAGAUAAAUGUAUAGAUUCUCAUUCUUAUCAUUUAUUCUCACUCUCAUUCAACUUUCAUAUAUAGUUUAGCAUGCUUCCAUUCUUAAUUAUCUUUUCAUAAAAUAUACUCCAUUCAUUUAUCUAUAGAUGUAUUUUAAAUGUUUUAAUAUCAUUAAAAUUAAAAACAUUAACAAAAGUUUUCUUUAAAAAAAACAUACCUUACAAAUAGUGGUAGUGAUACAAUUUAGUUUUCACCAAUUAAUAGAAUAACAAGGAUGAUUAGAUCCUUCACCUUCACUUUGAGAGCGUUCUUGACUUUAUUCUCGUGCCCUUUGUCCAAAAAUAUAUCCAAAAAAAAAAAACCAUUGUCACCUUGGUUUUCAUAUAAUUGAUAUUUAGAAUAUAUUUGAGGAGGGAGAUACAUGAAAGGUGGAGGUGGAUGAUACAUUGGUGCUGGAGGAUGCAUGUGACGUGCUGAUAUGGCACACCAUAAUUAGGAAAUAGUGGAUAAUAACCAUAUGGUUGUGAAUAACCAGGUGUAUGUUGAAAAUAUGAAGGUUGGUCCGGUGGAUAAAAACAUUGUGUGCUAGUGUCAUGGGUUGCGCAUACUCUAAGUCCAUGACACUAGUAGAUGAAUCACUAUACCCAAGGUUACUAGAACUCGAUCUCCUACCAAAUGAAUAGCCUAUAGAAGUAUGCUUCUUACCUUUUCUUUUAAUGGAGCUCUAGGUUUACUUCUAUCUCUCCUAGGUUCAGGAAAUAUAUUUCUAUCAAAUUUUGAUCUAUCACAGAAAUGUCUACUAAUGGUACUAACCCCAUAUUCUCCUCCAUACUGACUAGAAGACCUAAUUUCACCUCUAUGUCCAUGAUCAUCAUCAAUUGGACUUAAACCACCACCAUCAGGUCCAUCACCACUCUGACUUGGCAUUGCACUAGAACUUAAAUGAGACAAUUUCGUUAUUGAGAUUUAUUAACAUUUAUUUUAUCAUCAGAGGUAUCCACAUGCAACACACCAACAUUUUCACCAUCUAACAAUGGAUUCUCUUUCUCUUGAAGCCAUUCUGAUAGUGGAUCAACAUCUUCAAAGAUAUGAUCAAGGCUAAUAGGAUUAAAACUAGCAUUUAUAUCAUCAAUGGUCAUUCUUUUUUUAUGCCUUAUCUGAAGCCUCAUAUUAUAGUAGGUAAACACUAGUUUAUCAAAUUUUUUAUACUUCAACCCAUUUCUUGCCUUGAUAUGAAUAUAACUAAAUGUGUUCUAAUUUUGUUCGCAGUUUGAUGCAAAAGUUGUUUAACUAAGCACUUUAAUUGCUAAUAUUUAUAACUCAAGAACACGUGUCAUAUAUUAUCCACCACUCAGCUGCAUAAUAUUAUUUAAAUUUCAAAAUAACUUCAAAAUGUACAAUAUAAUUAAAUAAAUUAAAUAUAAUUAAAUAAUUUAAUUAACUACUUACCCAGAUUCAUAUGCUUCCAAGCUCCUUGUGCUUGUGGAGUACCAAAUGUCUCAUAUUUAUCUUUAAAUAGUAACAACUAAAUAAAUAAAAAGAUAGUAAAAAUAAAAAAAAAUUCCAUUUCAAAUUAUGUAACUAAGUUAUAAAUAAUAGUACUUGAAUAUAACUUGAUUAACCAUUCUGACUUGAGUAUCAAAAGAAAGUUCUAAUCUUUCAAUUAUUGAUGUUGUAUCUUCUAAUGUUUCUAUUACUACGUUCUACGAAUGUUCCACCCCAAAUUGAAAUUGAGGAUUGAGAAAAUAACCUAAGCAUACUUUAUAAGAAUAUCAUCAAAUAAUAAUAAUAAUCUAAAGCUUAAAAUAAUAAAAUAUAAAAAUAGUUCUUAAUUAUAUAAAACAUUUUAUCUUACCAGCUGAAUGCAAGUCAGAAUGCAUAAAAUUUCAUCUAUUGUCAGUAAUCUGUUCGUACUCAGUGAAAUAUCGACAAUCUUGUCGAAUUGCUCAUUUAGCUCUAUCAACAGCCUCAUAAAUAAAGUCCAUUGUUGGUUUUUCAUCACCAUCCACAAGUUUCAAUACUUUUACUAGGGGCUCGUAAGCUUUAAAAAAGAGCCACUGAUCUUUUUAAAAUCAUUAAAGGUUGUUAUAUUUAAGUAAUUAUAUUAACUAAUUAUAAAAUAUUUACAUUUAAAUUAAACAUUUCUCUCAUAUCUUACUUUUGUCUUGUUAUCUCUUCAAGUUAAUGAAAUGAUUUGCAAAUCGAGUAAGAGCAGGUCGAAGUAUUUAUUUCCCUUAUGAAUACUUCAUCAAAUCAACAGUCCAAUUGUGAUUGUAUAUAACGCAAGUCACUUUCUUAGCCUCAUCUAACACAUUUGCUACGAUGAGUUUUUUCCCAAUAUCUUCAAGGAAUAAAUCUAAACAGUGAGCUACACAUGAGGUCCAAUAUAAAUGCUUUCUUUUCAACAUUAAUUUUUUCCAGCAGCUUUCUCAAAUUUCUUCUACAAAUAAAUAUAACAACCUGUAGUAGAAUUUAGCAUCUCUAUUAUGAACACUCGAGACAUCCACAGAUUUCCAAAAAAUGGUUCCUUUACUGCAAUAAACAAGGAAACUAAUUAUGUGCAUUUGAUUCAAAUUGUUGCUCCAACCAUCACACAGUAGAGUUGCAUCCAAUUCUUUCCAAUGAGUCUUUAGUUCAUUUACCCAAUCACGAACUCAUUGACACUCUGACUCCAAAUACACAUUUAAAAUCUCAUAAGGUGUUGGGAGCUUUACACCUUAUCCAACUUCUAUUUACACUUGAAUUAACUUAUACAAUUAUGGAAAAGUUGCUAAUUGAAAAAACAUUCAUAUAUUAAAAAUAUAGAUAUCGUUUCACUUAUCUCCCUGUGUAAAGUCUUAAAAAAAAGCCACUGAUCUUUAGUUAUUUUGAGCUUUUACUUUUAGCCAAUUCAGGUAUAACUCCCCUUAAGGUAAACUCGGACUCACUUGAGAUGGAUUUACUUCUUCUUUCUCCAUGAUAUUCUCCAAGUGAUCCAUGAGAAGAUUACUAUUCUUCAGAAAUGUUACUCCAAUCAUUAGUACUUCGUCUAAAUUUUUUUCCUUCUAUACCACUCGUAUUGUGACAGGACACUUUUAAAUCGAUUAUCGACUUAUCGGUACAAGAAAUUUGUUCAAAAAAAGAAAAAAACAAUCCAAACUCUAAACUUUCACACUCAAAUUUCACUAUCCAAACUCCAAACCAAACAAAAUCACAACACAAUCACAAAAUUCUCUAAAUAAAAUCUUUCAUAAAUUCAUAAUUUUUAAGUACAUGAAUUUUUUUUUGUCUUAAUUCUUGCUUCUUUUUGUUGUAACAUGCAAAGAUUGACGAGAAAUUUUUGACAAAAUCUUUACAAAUCAUUUUUAUAUUUUCGGGUAUUUUGGUAGUAAUCAAUGGUAGCCUAUGUAAAGUUUAAAGAAAUUGGAAAAAAAAUGGAGAAUGAAUGGAUCUUGUAAAGAAAAGCAAAGAAAACCUAAACCUUAAUUUUUUUUUCUCUUUCAUUUUUUACUCUCUGCCUCACGAUAGAAGAAGAGGAAGGGGGUUGAGGCCUGGGGGAACUUGGGAAACUUUUUGUUUUAAUUUUUAAUUUUUGGGUUUUGAGUGACCCGGCAAUAAUGGGUUGUGGUGGGUUAUUUUUUAAAAAAUAAAUUAUAGAUAUACAAUAAAUUUAUUUUUUCAAUGUUAGUGAUGAUAAGUGAUAAAAGUAGCAUAUUUUAAUUUUAUUCUUAAUGUAUUUUUGGAUGAUUAUUUAUGCAAAUUGAUAAUUUCUAAUCCUUUAAAUUCAUGUUUCUAUACUUAUUAGAACAUUUGGUAGCAAAAGGAGCGAAAAAAAGAUAGCAAAAAUCAGACAAGUAGAGCAAAUUUCAGGAGCCACACGGGCUAGGCCUUCCCACACGGGUUGGACACACGGCCAUGUGAGCCACACAGGAUGGACACACAGCCAUGUGCCACACCGUGUUGAUUUCUUGACUCGUAUCCCAAACACGCGAAAAAACGCAAUUUUUGGGCUUUCUAGUCAUUCGAAAGUCUAUAAAUAUCAAAUAGAAGAAAAGAAUAUGAGACAUCAGAGAAUAUUGAAGAAAACAACUCGAAGAACACCACUGAAGCCAACUCUAAAGCAGAUUUCCAUCAAGAUUGAAGGCCUCCUUUUAAUUUCUUUAAAGUUUUUAUGAUUUUCUUUAAUUCUUGUGGUUAUACUGAUUUUGAGAUAAUUUUAUUUACAAUUAUGAAUUAAUUUCCUAGAUACCUAAGGAUGAUAAACUCUGUGAUGAAAUCUAUUAUUUGAUUUAUGUUUUAUGUGAUAAGUAUUUUAUUCUUAUUCUUAGUAAUGUGUGCUUAACUAUUAUUUUAAUGUUUAUAGGAUAUUAAUUCAUAUUUAUUGUGCUUAAACCAGAGGAGAAAAAUCCUUAUUUAAGAGUAGAUCUAACAUAAUUAAGUGGAGUUGCAUGCAAUCCUAAAAAUAGAAUGACAUAAAUCUAUCGGAUUAGAGUCAAAUCUAAUAAAGGAAGAGUUAAUGUGAUAAUAAAGGUUUUAAUUAAAAAGAAAUUUCAAUUAAUUAACCUAGAGUCAACUGUUCUUACUUAAGAAAGAGAUAAUAGCAAAAUUUAAGGAUUUUGCGGAUCAAGAUAUCAAGUGAAUAAAUCAUUUAAUUCAAAUUCAUAAUGAUAGAUUAAAUCUAGGUGAAUUCUUUCUUGGGUAUUAUUUUACUUCUUGGUUAUUAUUCAAUUAUUUUCCUAAUUUAUUCUCUCCUGAGUUCUUUGGUUAAUUAAUUUAGUAUAUUUAGCUUCAAUCAAUCAUAUCAAAUUAUCAAUUAAAUAAUAGGAAAAUGGUUAUUACUAGCACUUUUAGUGCUCGUGGAUACGAUACCUCUACUCAACGUUGCUAUACUACUUAUCGACAGUCGCACUUGUCUUUGUCAUAUUUUUAGUUAGUUUCGUGAUACAUCAAGUGAUAUUUACUUUUUUUUGUAUUAUAUUGUUGAUAAUAUAAGUAACGAAUUACUUAUAUUUCUAAAUAUAAUUUUAUAUUUCUUGUAUAUAAAUAAAAAUAAAGCAUGUCACCACGUGAAGAAUUCCCAACUAAAGGAUUGGAGGGUGCACCAAGUAAUGAUAUAGGUUAGCACUUUGGAACUCUAGUGUCAUAUAUGAAAGAAAAUGUCGUAUGAAAACUUUGUAAUAAAGUUGUGAAAGAAGAAAUAACACGAUUUAAAGAGCACAUUGCUCAAAAAACCGACAAUUUUGCACCAAGCCCUAAUUUAUUGGUAUGUAAUACUUUAUUAUUAUUAUUUAAAUAUUAUCGUAAAUUUAUCAAUAAAGAUUAUACAUAAUUGAUAAUAAUAUAAAGAGUAAAUUAUUUUUAUUUUAUUAACAGCUGUCCGUAGAGAAAGUAUGACGAAUAUACUGAAAGAAAGCAACACAAAGAAAAUAAACAAAAAGAGAACAAAUGAAUUCUUAUCCCAAUUAAAAGGAGGGGAGGAUAAACACGAGGGAUUCAUUGAUGAGGUUUCUGUUAGGCAAGCAACUCGAGAAAAUAUCUAAUCACAACACGAGUGGCAUAGAAGGGAAGAAUUCGGAAGAAGUACUAGUAGUUGGAGUAACAUUUAUGAAGAAGAGUGAUCUUCUCAUGGAUCAAUUAAAGAAUAUUAUGGAGAAAGAACAAAUAAAUCCAUCCAAAGUGAGUCUAAGUUUACCUUCAGGGAGCUAUACUUGAUUGGCUAGAAGCAAAAGCUCAAAACAACCAAAGAUAAGUGGCUCUUUUUUAAAAACUUCACGCAGAAAGAUAGGUGAAGUAAUAUCUAAAUUUUUAAUAUAUGAACGACUUCCUUUUCAAUUAGCAAGCUCUCCAUGGUUGUAUAACUUAAUUCAAAUGUCAAAAGAAGUUGGACAAGGUGUAAAACUCCCAACACCUUAUGAGGUUUCAGAUGUGUAAUUGGAGUUAGAGUAUCAACGAAUUCGUGAUUGCGUAAAUGAACUAAAGACUCAUUGAAAUGAAUUGGGUGUAACUCUAAUGUGUGAUGGUUGGACCAACAAUUUGAAUUAAAUGCACAUUAUUAAUUUCCUUGUUUAUUGCAGUAAAUGAAUCGUUUUUUGAAAAUCUGUAGAUGUCUCGAGUGUUUAUAAUAGAGAUAUUAAAUUCUACUACAUUUUGUUAGAUUCAAUUGUAGAAGAAAUUGAAAAAAGUUACACUGUCCAAAUAGUGACUGAUGAGGCAACAAUAAAAGCCACUAGAAAAAAAUUAAUGUUGAAAGAAAAUAUUUAUAUUGGACCUCAUGUACAACUCACUAUUUAGAUUUAUACUUUGAAGAUAUUAGGAAAAAGUCAAGUGUAGCAAAAGUGUUAAAUGAGGCUAAGAAAGUAACUUACUUUAUAUACAAUCACAUUUGAACUAUUGAUUUGAUGAAGUAUACAUAAGGGAAGCAAAUACUUCAACCCUCUCUUACUCGAUUCGCAACUCAUUUCAUUAAACUUGAAAAGAUAACAAGACAAAAAGCAAGAUCUGAAAGAAAUAUUUAAUUCAAAGGUCAAUAUUUUAUAAUUACUUAAUAUAAUUACUUCAAUAUAACAACCUUUAAUUAUUUUAUUAAUUUCAAAUAAUUUAAAUUAUAUUAUUUUAAAAUUUUUCUUAUAAAUAUAUAGGAAUUUAAAUAACCAAAAUGGGGACGAUAAAAGUUAGGGCCUACUUAUGAAGCCAAAACAAUUGUUUUUUUUAAAAAAAUUUAGAAAAAAGCCAAUGACCUAAUAAAAAUUUACGAGCCCCUAGUAAAAGUAUUGAGACUUGUGGAUUGUGAUGAAAAACUAACAAUGGGUCUUAUUUAUAAAAUUUUUGAUAAAGCUAAAUGAGCAAUUCAACAAGAUUGUCCAUAUUUCACCGAGUACGAAAAGAUUAUUAACAUUAGAUGAAAUUUUAUGCAUUCUAACUUGCAUUCAGCUGGUAAGAUAAAAUAUUUCAUAUAAUUAAGAACUAUUUUUAUAUUUGAUUAUUUUAAGCUUUAGAUUAUUAUAUAAUAAUAUUCUUAUAAAUUUUACUUAGGUUAUUUUCUUGAUCGUCAAUUUCAAUUUGGGGUGGAGCAUUCUUAGGAUGUACUAGUUGAAAUAUUAGAAGGUACAAGAUCAAUAAUUGAAAGAUUAGAACAUUCUCUUAAUACUCAAGUCAGAAUGAUUAAUCAAGUUAGAUUCAAGUAUUAUUAUUUGUAACUUAGUUACAUAAUUUGAAAUGGAAUUAUUUUUUUUCAUUUUUACUCUAUCUUUUUAUUUAUGCAAUUGUUACUAUUUAAAAAUAAACAUGAGAGAUUCGAUACUUCACAAGCACAAAGAGCUUAGAAGCAAAUGAAUCCAGAUAAAUAGUUAAUUAAAUUGUUUAAUUUAAUUUAAUUUUUAUUAUUUAACUAUAUUGUACAUUUUGAAGUUAUUUUUAAAUUUAAAUAAUAUAUGGCACAUGUAUUCCUGAGUUACAAAGAUUAACAAUUAAAGUAGUUGGUCAAACAACUUCUGCAUCAAAUUGUGAACGAAAUUGCAACUCAUUAAGUUAUAUUCACACCAAGGCAAGAAAUAGGUUCAAUUAUAAAAAACUUGAGAAACUACUGUUUACCUACUAUAAUAUAAGGCUUCAGAUAAAGCAUCAAAAAAGAAUGAGCAUUGAUGAUAUAAACACUAGUUUUAAUCCUAUUAGCCUUUAUCAUAUCUUUGUAGAUGUUGAUCGACUAAUCAGAUUUACUUCAAGAGAAAAAGAAUCUAUUGUUAGAUGGUGAAAAUAUCGGUGUGUUGCAUGUGGAUAACUCUAACGGUGAAAUAAAUAUUGAUCAAUUUUAACAACAAACAUGUCUCAUUCAAGUUCUAGUGCAACGCCAAGUUAGAGUGGCGAUAGACAUAAUGGUGAUGGUUUAAGACCAAUUGGUGACGAUGAUGGACAUAGUGGUGAUAGAGGUGAAAUUAGGUCUUCUAGUCAAUAUAGAGGAGAAUGUGAAAUUGGUACCAGUAGUGGAUAUUUCCAUGAUAGUUCAGAAUUUGAUAGAAAUAUUUAGAGAUAAAAGUGAAUUUAGAGCUCCAUCAAAAUGAAAAGGCAAGAAGCAUACUUCUGUAGGCUUUCAUCAUGUAGGAGAUCGAGUUCUAAUAACAUUGGAUAUAGUGAUUCAUCCACUAGCACUCAAGGUUUUUAUCCACCUGAACAACCUUCAUAUUUUCAACUUUCACAUGGUUAUCCAUAACCAUAUGGUUAUUAUCCACCAUUUCCUAAUUAUGAUGUGUCAUUUUAGCUUCAAAUGCAUCAUCCACCACCAAUGUAUCAUUCUCCUCAAAUAUAUCCUCCAUAUCAAUUAUAUGAAAACCAAGUUAAAAAUCUUACAUUUUUUAUAUAUAUUUUUGGACAAAGGUCAUGAGAACCAAGUCAAAAACACUUUGAAAGUGAAGGUGAAGAAUCUGAUCCUCCUCGUCAUUCCACUAAUUGGUGAAAACUAAAUUGUACCACUACCACUAUUUGUAAGGUAUUUUUAAAAAAAAAUAUUUUUGUUAAUGUUUUUAAUUUUAAUGAUAUUAAAACAUUUAAAAUACAUUUAUAGAUAAAUGAAUAAAGUAUAAAACGAUAAUUAAGAAUUGAAGCAUGUUAAACUAUAUAUGAAAGUAGAAUGAGAGUGAGAAUAAGUGGUAGGAAAUAAGAAUAAUUAUGAGAAUCUAUACAUUUAUAACGGCCUAUUUUUUGCAAUAACAAUUUUGGACGACACCGCUACCGCUAUAUAACGGCCGCUAUUUCGCUACCCAACAAUUAUUUAAAUCCCUGGAUUUAACAAUUAUUGUCUAGUGAGGAUUAAAAUUUUAAAAAUUGAAAAGUACAGGGGUUAAAAAUGAACAAAGAUUAAAUCCACAACUUUCAAAAAGUACAGAGAGUAAUGACAAAAUUUACCAAUUUGUUAAUACUAUACUUAAGCUUAACCUGACCCUUUUCGAUCCAUAAACACUUUUAUUCCUAACCCAACUUUUUUUUAAGGAUUUAAUCCAUUUAAUUUUAAACUUAAGAUAAAAAUUUCCUAACUCUAUCCACAAAUAUUUUAAUAAAACUAUACUACUAUAUAUAAAAAGUCCAUCCUUCUUUGACACCCUGUCCUUUACUUUUCUUUUACAUUACUAAUAAUAAUGGUUAAAUUUCUAUUGAGGCCCCUCUACUUUUUAAUUAUACAAAAUGGUCAAAUUUUUAUUUCAAUCCUUAUACCAUGCUUAAAUUUAAUAUUUGAUUUUUAUACUUUAAUUCCAUACAUAGUUUUCUACCUCAAAGUUUAUAAUGUUAUUAGUUAGACUAAAUAUUUUAUUUUAAAUUAAAAUAUUAAAGUAAAUUUAGAGAAUUGUUAACGUCAUUUUUUUUUGUUAUAUUUAGUCCUAUUACAAUGCCAUUUUUCUGACAUGAUCAUGGAAUAGAUACUUUUUUAAAAUUUAGAAGUUCACACCAACAAGUUUAAUAGAAGAAUUUUAGAUUUGAAAAAAUAAAAGGACUAAAUUCUUAAAAAUAAAAAUAUAAAAAUUAGAUUCUAAAAAUACAGAGAGUAGAUUAUAACCUUUAACUUUUAACUAUUUAAUCUAAAAAUAAUUAAGCAUGAAAUGAACCAUACGAAUUAAAAAUAAAAGGUAAGAUUUGGUGAAACAAUCCCACGAGAUAAAGACAGAAAUAAUUGUCUUUUCCUAAGUCAUUAUACCACAUAUAAUUUAGAGAUGCAAACAAGAACCAGAAGAAUUAAAAGGUUGUGUUUGGUAGUAAUUAUUUAGUAAACAAAAUAUUACAAGUGGAAUGUUCAUUUUCUUUAAAAAUAGUUUGAGCUUCAAUUACGAUAGUAGAAAAAACAUUAAAAAUUGGGGAAAGAAUAAUUAAUUAUUUUCUUUCAGGACUUAUAUGUUUUUUUUUUUCAAAUCUUGUUAUAUAAAUAUUAUUCAAUGAAAUAUUGCUUACUCUCACAAAACAAUUCUUUGUUUAUCUUUGAGAUUAUAAUUAGUCUUGAUUUAUAAUUUGUAUUUAUAUUGGAUAAUUUUACUAUUUAAAAAUAUUUGAAUAGUUUAAAAAUAUAGUUAUUAAUUGAUAUGUAGAUAUUAGAUCAGUUAAAGACUUUAGGUUAUAAUGAUGUACGACGGUCCGUUUCAUAAAAUAUUAAUUUUAACCGACAUGGAUAUGCAGGGUUUAUCCUCCCACAAAGAAAAGCAUGUUCAGGGGUUAUCAUUCGAAACGAGAUGGGCCAAACUUUGGUAGCUUGCAGUAGACUUACCAGUUGGGUUCCAUCGGCGUUUGCCGCCGAAGCUCUAGCUGUAAUUCAUGGCCUUCGCUUUGCACUCGAUCUUGACUUCCAAUCUGUGAUUUUAGAAGGGGGCUCAAGGUCGGUCAUCCAAAAAAUAGUGGAUAAUGGGAAGGAUUUAUCGGAAAUAAGAUCGCUUACCUGGGAAGCAAAGGAACUCGCGAAAUCUUUUCGGUUUUGCAGGUUCCAUUUUGUAGAUCGAUCCGGAAACAAGGCAGCGCAUGCAAUGACGCGGGACGGGCUGAGGAGAGACGAGGAUAGAUUCUGGGUGGAGGAGGUUCCCGAUUUGGCUACUGUGACUGUCGAUGAUGAUUACAGAUCUGUAGACCCUCCGUAGGUGUGCUAUUCAGGGUUGGUUUUGAGGGAAUUCAUUUUCACUUUUGGCCCUCGUAUGUCUUUGUUGCUCCCUUGGGUCUUCUUUGUUUGGUUAAAUGGUAGUGAAGGGAGCAUCCAUGGUCGGAAUUUCUGUAAAUUUUGUUUAGGGUGAGUUUGGAUGGACAGUACAUUUACUUGCGGUUAGUGUAAAAAUAGCGGUGACAGUGAGAUUAGAUACUAUAGCGACAUUGUAGCAUGAGACAAAAAGUACGCUAAACGGUUCUGUUUUUUUUUUGUUUGUGUGUUGGUUUUGUUUUGGUCAGGUUGUUUUGGGUGAGUCUGUUUAUCUGACGUCUUAAUUGUUUUUUGGGUUUUGUUUUGACGGUUUAAUUUUCCAAUAAGAGUGACCGGUAUUUAUUCAAAAAAAUGUAUAAAGAUAAUUAAUUUUAAAUUAUAUAAAAGAAUCGACCUCC